Molecule: ribosomal RNA, 107 nt
Filed under: Jaculus jaculus (lesser Egyptian jerboa)
Lineage: Eukaryota; Metazoa; Chordata; Mammalia; Rodentia; Dipodidae
Source: RNAcentral
GUCUAUGGCCAUACCACCCUGAAUGCCCCCCAAUCUCAUCUGAUCUGAGAAGCUGAAUUGUGUUGGGCCUGGUUAAUACUUGGAUGGGAGAAAACAGCCAGUGAACU